This 142-nucleotide ribosomal RNA is filed under the name uncultured bacterium. RNAcentral describes it as "partial 16S rRNA". It matches the Rfam family "Bacterial small subunit ribosomal RNA", at positions 354 to 511 of the family's 1533-position model. The record is from RNAcentral.
UGGGGGAAUUUUCCGCAAUGGGCGAAAGCCUGACGGAGCAAUGCCGCGUGGAGGUGGAAGGCCUACGGGUCGUCAACUUCUUUUCUCGGAGAAGAAACAAUGACGGUAUCUGAGGAAUAAGCAUCGGCUAACUCUGUGCCAG